GACGUAGGGGGCCAGCGUUGUUCGGAAUUACUGGGUGUAAAGGGUUCGUAGGCGGUGUGGCAAGUCGGGAGUGAAAUCUCUGGGCUCAACCCAGAGACUGCUUCCGAAACUGCUGUGCUUGAGUGUGAGAGUGGCUCGUGGAAUUGCAGGUGUAGCGGUGAAAUGCGUAGAUAUCUGCAGGAACACCCGUGGCGAAAGCGGCGAGCUGGAUCACUACUGACGCUGAGGAACGAAAGCUAGGGGAGCAAACAGG
This 253-nucleotide ribosomal RNA is filed under the name uncultured bacterium. RNAcentral's name for it is "partial 16S ribosomal RNA". It matches the Rfam family "Bacterial small subunit ribosomal RNA", at positions 524 to 776 of the family's 1533-position model. The record is from RNAcentral.